CCCUUAGAUGUCCUGGGCCGCACGCGCGUUACACUGAUGCAUUCAACGAGCUUAUAACCUUGGCCGAGAGGCCUGGGCAAUCUUGUUAACGUGCAUCGUGAUAGUGAUAGAUUAUUGAAAUUAUUAAUCUUGAACGAGGAAUUCCUAGUAAACGCAGAUCAUCAAUCUGCAUUGAUUACGUCCCUGCCCUUUGUACACACCGCCCGUCGCACCUACCGAUUGGAUGGUCCGGUGAAGCCUCGGGAUUGUGGUUCUUGCCGCUUUAUUGUGGCGUGACCGCGAGAACUUGUCUAAACCUUAUCAUCUAGAGGAAGGUGAAGUCGUAACA
Molecule: ribosomal RNA, 328 nt
Filed under: uncultured eukaryote
Lineage: Eukaryota
Description: partial 18S ribosomal RNA
Rfam family: Eukaryotic small subunit ribosomal RNA
Source: RNAcentral